Molecule: ribosomal RNA, 380 nt
Filed under: uncultured bacterium
Lineage: Bacteria
Description: bacterial SSU rRNA
Rfam family: Bacterial small subunit ribosomal RNA
Source: RNAcentral
AACGAACGCUGGCGGCGCGCCUAAUACAUGCAAGUCGAACGAGAAGGUGUAGCAAUACACUUGUACAGUGGCGAACGGGUGAGGAAUGCAUGGGCAACCUACCCUCGAGUGGGGAAUAACCAGCCGAAAGGUUGGCUAAUACCGCGUACGCUUCCGGGUCUCCGGAUCCGGAAGGAAAGUCACACCGUGGGUGUGACGCUCAAGGAUGGGCUCAUGUCCUAUCAGCUGUUGGUGAGGUAACGGCUCACCAAGGCAACGACGGGUAGCUGGCCUGAGAGGACGAUCAGCCACACUGGCACUGCGACACGGGCCAGACUCCUACGGGAGGCAGCAGUAAGGAAUAUUGCGCAAUGGGCGAAAGCCUGACGCAGCGACGCCGC